UACGUAGGGCGCAAGCGUUAUCCGGAAUUAUUGGGCGUAAAGAGCUCGUAGGCGGUUUGUCGCGUCUGCUGUGAAAACCUAAGGCUCAACCUUGGGCUUGCAGUGGGUACGGGCAGACUAGAGUGCGGUAGGGGUGACUGGAAUUCCUGGUGUAGCGGUGGAAUGCGCAGAUAUCAGGAGGAACACCGAUGGCGAAGGCAGGUCUCUGGGCCACUACUGACGC
RNAcentral lists this ribosomal RNA (223 nucleotides) under uncultured bacterium. RNAcentral's name for it is "partial 16S ribosomal RNA". It matches the Rfam family "Bacterial small subunit ribosomal RNA", at positions 524 to 746 of the family's 1533-position model. The record is from RNAcentral.